Oncorhynchus tshawytscha (Chinook salmon) is the source of this 1109-nucleotide long non-coding RNA. The record is from Ensembl. Lineage: Eukaryota; Metazoa; Chordata; Actinopteri; Salmoniformes; Salmonidae.
CUCUUUCUCUCUACCUCCCUCUCUUUCUCUCUAUCUCUCUACCUCCCUCUCUUUCUCUCUACCUCCCUCUCUUUCUCUCUUUCUCUCUACCUCCCUCUCUUUCUCUCUACCUCCCUCUCUUUCUCUCUACCUCUCUUUCUCUCUACCUCUCUCUCUUUCUCUCUACCUCUCUCUCUUUCUCUCUUUCUCUCUCUUUCUCUCUCUCUCUCUAUCUAUCUUCCCCUCUCUCUCCUCUGUUUGUUCACUCUCCUUUCUUUCCCCUCUUCAAAAACACAGCACUCCUUUCAUGAAAAUGCGUGCAGCACAGUCUUGUCAGUAACUGAGUCUGGAAAUAUGAACACGGUUUGUUUUUUGUUGCCACAGAACUAACGUUACUAGAAAAUGUGUAUGUCUGUGAAAGGUUGGUUUUGUGGAAAUAGCUAGAAAGAGGAACGUUGUUGUUGUUGUUGUCAAGCACUGCUGUAUUCCUCUGUUUAGAGUCAUGUGAUAUGAUGGGAUGGUGUGAAUACAUCACUAAGUAAAUAACACUAUUCAUAUGUAACUGUAAAUAACACUAUUCAUAUGUAACUGUAAAUAACACUAUUCAUAUGUAACUUUAAUAUGACUAAGAAGGUUAUAUCGGGGCCUGUGUCAAACCACAACUGAUACAUUGUAGCUGCACACAGUUUAGGAAAUUCUCUCUCUGACACACAACACGGUACAUUGUCACUAAUUCUCACUGUCUGUCUGUGUGUCUUUGCUACCAGUGUCCUGUAUAAUAGAUUGCCUAUUGGUCGAGGGUAAAAUCACUGUGGAGUUGACAUCUCCAGCAUCUUCUCUGUUGUUAUGAUCUGCUGAACAGGGACAGGCCUGUGUGACACAUUUUUUCCAGACAUCUCUGUCCUUUUCCGUCAACACGGAUGGACUCUAUUCAGAGAAAGUACAUAGUUUGUUUUAUCAUUCACUUGAACAUGAAGGUCACAUGAACAGACUUUUCUGGGGGCAUUUUGGGGAAAGAGAUGACACAAGAGUUACUGAGUUAAUCAGCAGAUAUUGAUUUUGUUGUACACCUAACAUGUACUGUUAUUCUUCAUAAUAUACUCCAUCUGUCACUGGGUGAUUGAUUGACC